Molecule: unclassified non-coding RNA, 231 nt
Filed under: plant metagenome
Description: partial contains small subunit ribosomal RNA, internal transcribed spacer 1, and 5.8S ribosomal RNA
Source: RNAcentral
UCUCCGUUGGUGAACCAGCGGAGGGAUCAUUACAGAGUUGCAGAACUCCCAAACCAUUGUGAACGUUACCUAGCCCGUUGCUCUGGCGGGCGGCCCGGGCCCCGCGCCCGGCGCCCCCCGGCCCCCCGUGGGCGCCCGCCGGAGGUAAACCAAACCCUUGAAUUGCAUGGCCUCUCUGAGUCUUCUGUACUGAAUAAGUCAAAACUUUCAACAACGGAUCUCUUGGUUCUG